This 142-nucleotide unclassified non-coding RNA is filed under the name uncultured Lophiostoma. RNAcentral describes it as "sequence contains ITS2". The record is from RNAcentral. Lineage: Eukaryota; Fungi; Ascomycota; Dothideomycetes; Pleosporales; Lophiostomataceae.
ACACCCUCAAGCACAGCUUGGUGUUGGGCGUCUGUCUUUCUUAGACUCGCCUCAAAAAGAUUGGCAGCCACUUCAGCGGCUUUGAGCGCAGCAGAAUUGCGUCCUCUAGCAGCGGAAGGUGGCAUCCAAAAGUUUUCUUUUA